UGAAUAACCACUAACCAACAAUAUGCC
Molecule: small RNA, 27 nt
Filed under: Bombyx mori (domestic silkworm)
Lineage: Eukaryota; Metazoa; Arthropoda; Insecta; Lepidoptera; Bombycidae
Description: ovarian small RNA-31048
Source: RNAcentral